CGCGGCCUAUCAGCUUGUUGGUGAGGUAACGGCUCACCAAGGCAUCGACGGGUAGCUGGUCUGAGAGGAUGAUCAGCCACACUGGGACUGAGACACGGCCCAGACUCCUACGGGAGGCAGCAGUGGGGAAUCUUGCGCAAUGGGCGAAAGCCUGACGCAGCAACGCCGCGUGCGGGAAGAAGGCCCUCGGGUUGUAAACCGCUUUCAGCAGGAACGAAAAUGACGGUACUUGCAGAAGAAGGUGCGGCCAACUACGUGCCAGCAGCCGCGGUGACACGUAGGCACCAAGCGUUGUCCGGAUUUAUUGGGCGUAAAGAGCUCGUAGGCGGUUCGGUAAGUCGGGUGUGAAAACUUUGGGCUUAACCCAAAGCCUGCAUCCGAUACUGCUGUGACUAGAGUUCGGUAGGGGAGCGGGGAAUUCCUAGUGUAGCGGUGAAAUGCGCAGAUAUUAGGAGGAACACCGGUGGCGAAGGCGCCGCUCUGGGCCGAUACUGACGCUGAGGAGCGAAAGCGUGGGUAGCAAACAGGAUUAGAUACCCUGGUAGUCCACGCCGUAAACGUUGGGCACUAGGUGUGGGUUUCAACCAACGAAAUCCGCGCCGUCGCUAACGCAUUAAGUGCCCCGCCUGGGGAGUACGG
RNAcentral lists this ribosomal RNA (639 nucleotides) under uncultured bacterium. RNAcentral's name for it is "bacterial SSU rRNA". It matches the Rfam family "Bacterial small subunit ribosomal RNA", at positions 232 to 885 of the family's 1533-position model. The record is from RNAcentral.